Brachypodium distachyon (stiff brome) is the source of this 592-nucleotide long non-coding RNA. RefSeq lists it as uncharacterized. The record is from RefSeq and is a predicted model, not a curated record. Lineage: Eukaryota; Viridiplantae; Streptophyta; Magnoliopsida; Poales; Poaceae. The transcript is spliced from 2 exons.
CGUGACGGCCGGCGGCGGCGCCCGGAGUCGGAUCCAUCAUCCAUCGGUGGAAGGGUACGUAUGCUACGACGGCUAUGUGGAAUUGCCAAAUCUCGUUGAUGCGGACGGCCGAUGGUUCUCAAGCUCCAGGAGAAUCGCAGUGUGAAGCCAGCCAAUUCAAGAACAGAAUGCAUCGACACCAAUGGAAAAUACCAGCACCCCUCGUCACAAGUGUGCGAUGGACGAAAUCUAUUGGAGAGGCCAAGUUGAUAGGUAACCAGGGACAAGAAGACAAAGCCGGUGCUCAAUGCCGUCGGUGAAUCGUCAGACUGGGGUUUCCUUGCUGCUAGAGCCCUGAGAGAGCAAGGCUUCGAGAGAUUUGUUCUCGAGGGAGACAAGCGAAUGGAGGGACAAACGAGAUGAGGCACUGAGCCAAAGAAAGAGAUGGGUUCUCGGGCUCAAAUCGAAUGGGCCACCCUGUUUUCCUAGGGACAAAAUGUGCACUUUCACUUUUUUUUUUCGAAAAUGAGGGAAACCCCGGGGCUCUGCAUCAAUCAAUGCACACAGCCAUCUCUCUAAAAAAAAGCCAUCAUAUUAUUGAAGUUCAGUACAA